CCUACGGGAGGCAGCAGUGAGGAAUAUUGGUCAAUGGACGCAAGUCUGAACCAGCCAUGCCGCGUGCAGGAAGACGGCUCUAUGAAUUGUAAACUUCUUUUGUACGAGGGUAAAUCCCGAUACGUGUAUCGGGUUGAAAGUAUCUUACGAAUAAGGAUCGGCUAACUCCGUGCCAGCAGCCGCGGUAAUACGGAAGAUCCGGGCGUUAUCCGGAUUUAUUGGGUUUAAAGGGAGCGUAGGCGGCAUGUCAAGCGUGCUGUGAAAGGUCCGGGCUCAACCCGGGCCUUGCAGUGCGAACUGGCGUGCUUGAGUCCGCGGAAAGCAGGCGGAAUGCGUCGUGUAGCGGUGAAAUGCUUAGAUAUGACGAAGAACCCCGAUUGCGAAGGCAGCUUGCUGCAGCGGCACUGACGCUGAUGCUCGAAAGCGCGGGUAUCGAACAGGAUUAGAUACCCGGGUAGUC
Molecule: ribosomal RNA, 460 nt
Filed under: uncultured bacterium
Lineage: Bacteria
Description: partial 16S ribosomal RNA
Rfam family: Bacterial small subunit ribosomal RNA
Source: RNAcentral